RNAcentral lists this ribosomal RNA (384 nucleotides) under uncultured bacterium. RNAcentral describes it as "bacterial SSU rRNA". It matches the Rfam family "Bacterial small subunit ribosomal RNA", at positions 27 to 412 of the family's 1533-position model. The record is from RNAcentral.
GGACGAACGCUGGCGGCGUGCUUAACACAUGCAAGUCGAGCGGUAAGGCCCUUUCGGGGGUACACGAGCGGCGAACGGGUGAGUAACACGUGGGUGACCUGCCCUCAGCUCUGGGAUAAGCCUGGGAAACCGGGUCUAAUACCGGAUAUGACUCCAUGACGCAUGUUGUGGGGUGGAAAGCCUUGUGCGGCUGAGGAUGGGCCCGCGGCCUAUCAGCUUGUUGGUGGGGUGAUGGCCUACCAAGGCGACGACGGGUAGCCGGCCUGAGAGGGCGACCGGCCACACUGGGACUGAGACACGGCCCAGACUCCUACGGGAGGCAGCAGUGGGGAAUCUUGCGCAAUGGGCGAAAGCCUGACGCAGCGACGCCGCGUGAGGGAUGAC